This 75-nucleotide transfer RNA is filed under the name Pterocladiophila hemisphaerica. Its description in RNAcentral is "tRNA-His". It matches the Rfam family "tRNA". Rfam says of the family: Transfer RNA (tRNA) molecules are approximately 80 nucleotides in length. Their secondary structure includes four short double-helical elements and three loops (D, anti-codon, and T loops). Lineage: Eukaryota; Rhodophyta; Florideophyceae; Gracilariales; Pterocladiophilaceae. The record is from RNAcentral.
GGCGAAAAUAACUCAGUUUGGUAGAGUAUUAGAUUGUGAAUCUAAAAGUCCAAGGUUCAAAUCCUUUUUUUCGCC